GCGCGGGUGGCGGAAUGGCAGACGCGCUAGCUUGAGGUGCUAGUCCUUUAACGAGGGUGGGGGUUCAAGUCCCCCUCCGCGCA
RNAcentral lists this transfer RNA (83 nucleotides) under Arthrobacter glycogeni. Its description in RNAcentral is "Arthrobacter sp. Hz1 tRNA-Leu". It matches the Rfam family "tRNA". Rfam says of the family: Transfer RNA (tRNA) molecules are approximately 80 nucleotides in length. Their secondary structure includes four short double-helical elements and three loops (D, anti-codon, and T loops). Further hydrogen bonds mediate the characteristic L-shaped molecular structure. tRNAs have two regions of fundamental functional importance: the anti-codon, which is responsible for specific mRNA codon recognition, and the 3' end, to which the tRNAs corresponding amino acid is attached (by aminoacyl-tRNA synthetases). tRNAs cope with the degeneracy of the genetic code in two manners: having more than one tRNA (with a specific anti-codon) for a particular amino acid; and 'wobble' base-pairing, i.e. permitting non-standard base-pairing at the 3rd anti-codon position. RNAcentral also lists the same sequence under 4 other names. Lineage: Bacteria; Bacillati; Actinomycetota; Actinomycetes; Micrococcales; Micrococcaceae. The record is from RNAcentral.